UGAAGAAGAAGAAACAAGAGAAGGCACCAGCCGUUGUUUCUCUUUUCUCUUCUUCUUCUUCUUCUUCUUCUUCUAUUUUUGUAUGUAUCAGUGCAUUUAUGUUUAAAAAUGAAAUAAAAUUAUAUCGAUAUUCUAAUAAAA
RNAcentral lists this non-coding RNA (141 nucleotides) under uncultured Mamiellales. Lineage: Eukaryota; Viridiplantae; Chlorophyta; Mamiellophyceae; Mamiellales. The record is from RNAcentral.